Molecule: long non-coding RNA, 1056 nt
Organism: Ostrea edulis (European flat oyster)
Lineage: Eukaryota; Metazoa; Mollusca; Bivalvia; Ostreida; Ostreidae
Exons: 2
Source: RefSeq, a predicted model, not a curated record
GUGACGAGAAACGAGACUUACAGCCCCUAUAGAUUAUCAGAACAGUGUCACAUUUUACACUUCCACAAUAAAAAUAAAUACAUGUAUAUGAGUUUAAAAUACAUGUAAUACUUAUUGAAAUCAUAUCAGUUUCAUGUCUUCAACCUGAUUAGCCUUAAAACAGCAUGUAUGUAGACCUAUAUUAUGCCUUUUCUGUUACUGUUUUUCAUGUUUUGCUAAUAUAGCAAUAAAAUCGAUAACUGAUAAUUUUAUUUCACCAUUAUACUAAUUAAUCAAUGUAUGUUACAAACACAUUUAUGAAUAAUCAAAUUUAUCCCUUUAAGAUAAAUUCAGUUAUUGAGAAUGACGAAUUUGACAUGCUUGAAUAUUUUUAAGUGCAAUUCAAUUUUUCCGGAAUUUUGCUGUCCUUUUCUUGACACCAGACUUAGUCCAUAAAUAGUCCCAACGCGAGCAUGCGCUCUCGGCCUUUUCAUUUUCAUCCUCGGGCAAGUGCAGAUGAAUUCCAGGCGAUCAAGAAAAAAUCCAAUUAAAUCGGCUAAGAUGAGUACGGGAAUGUUAAGAGCGGGAUCUACUAGGCGCUCUAAAACCAGAUCGCCUUAUGCCAGACCACCGGCUCGGGCAGAAGUCCCUGUAGCUCGCCCGUCACAACCUCGCAAUUCCUCGCUGACAAGUGCACGUCCUACACAGUAGCAUCAAUCCAACCAAUCCACUUUAAGUGCUGACAGCCAUCAAGAUGCACCCGGGGUCAUUCCAUUACACACCACGCAGCCCACCAUCACCCCAGAUAUUUAUCUUCAAGGAAACGCUAGGCCUGCAGUGGCUAUACCUACUGAAAAUGUACCACACCAAACAGUACGCAUGUAAACCCUCUUGUUAGUAUCACGGCAGAUCUUGGGGCUAACAUAUUCCAUUGUCAUUACAGGAAAAAAUAUGGAAUAAUGAAUAUAUAGAUCUUGCCAAGCUAUUGCAUUUAGAUCCUGCAGCUGAAACCCAACAACUUCUUGUGUUUGAAGAUGGUCAAAUCAAAAUUAAAAACAAAUCUAAAGAUAAAAAAAA